Adelges cooleyi (spruce gall adelgid) is the source of this 364-nucleotide long non-coding RNA. RefSeq lists it as uncharacterized. The record is from RefSeq and is a predicted model, not a curated record. The transcript is spliced from 3 exons. Lineage: Eukaryota; Metazoa; Arthropoda; Insecta; Hemiptera; Adelgidae.
UGGCGUAGUCAUGGAAUAUGAAAAGCAGGAUGGCAUAUACAAGCCAGAAGAUGGCGAUGUGACCAUAACCUUGAAAGGUGUAGAGACUGUAUUGAAGAAGUAGAAAAGCGACUCCAAACAUGCAAAAUACUUUAUAGUGUUGCUUUUUUGAAAGAUAUAUUAUCAAAGUAUACAUUCACAUUCAACGAAAUUAAUAAGUACAUAGAAAAAGCCCUACAAUAUGGUUCAUUAGCAAAUACUGGAAUAAAAAUGAUGCUAGCAACACUAUUUGUAGAAUAUGAAAAACCCAAUGGAAUAAACUUUGAAGAAUUAAACAAACUGAUUAUUGAUACGAACUUGUUUGCCAAUUAUCCAUUUCAGUAUC